RNAcentral lists this ribosomal RNA (397 nucleotides) under Acanthamoeba sp. RNAcentral's name for it is "SSU rRNA". The stretch from base 1 to 352 matches the Rfam family "Eukaryotic small subunit ribosomal RNA", at positions 784 to 1116 of the family's 1831-position model. The record is from RNAcentral. Lineage: Eukaryota; Discosea; Longamoebia; Acanthamoebidae.
UCCAUUUUCUGCCACCGAAUACAUUAGCAUGGGAUAAUGGAAUAGGACCCUGUCCUCCUAUUUUCAGUUGGUUUUGGCAGCGCGAGGACUAGGGUAAUGAUUAAUAGGGAUAGUUGGGGGCAUUAAUAUUUAAUUGUCAGAGGUGAAAUUCUUGGAUUUAUGAAAGAUUAACUUCUGCGAAAGCAUCUGCCAAGGAUGUUUUCAUUAAUCAAGAACGAAAGUUAGGGGAUCGAAGACGAUCAGAUACCGUCGUAGUCUUAACCAUAAACGAUGCCGACCAGCGAUUAGGAGACGUUGAAUACAAAACACCACCAUCGGCGCGGUCGUCCUUGGCGUCGGUCUUUCGGGGCCGGCGCGGGGGCGGCUUAGCCCGGUGGCACCGGUGAAUGACUCCCUA